Molecule: ribosomal RNA, 374 nt
Filed under: uncultured prokaryote
Description: bacterial SSU rRNA
Rfam family: Bacterial small subunit ribosomal RNA
Source: RNAcentral
CGUAGGCACCAAGCGUUGUCCGGAUUUAUUGGGCGUAAAGAGCUCGUAGGCGGUUUAGUAAGUCGGGUGUGAAAACUCUGGGCUUAACCCAGAGCCGCCACUCGAUACUGCUGUGACUUGAGUUCGGUAGGGGAGCAGGGAAUUCCUAGUGUAGCGGUGAAAUGCGCAGAUAUUAGGAGGAACACCGGUGGCGAAGGCGCUGCUCUGGGCCGAUACUGACGCUGAGGAGCGAAAGCGUGGGUAGCAAACAGGAUUAGAUCCCCUGGUAGUCCACGCCGUAAACGUUGGGCACUAGGUGUGGGUUCCAACCAACGGAAUCCGCGCCGUCGCUAACGCAUUAAGUGCCCCGCCUGGGGAGUACGGCGGCAACGCUA